Molecule: non-coding RNA, 23 nt
Filed under: Mus musculus (house mouse)
Lineage: Eukaryota; Metazoa; Chordata; Mammalia; Rodentia; Muridae
Also listed under: 1 other name
Source: RNAcentral
UGGUUUUGAGAAGGAACCGGCCU